AUGAACGCUGGCGGCGUGCCUAAUCCCUGCAAGUCGCGCGAACAGACGAGGAGCUUGCUCCUCUGACGUUAGCGGCGGACGGGUGAGUAACACGUGGAUAACCUACCUAUAAGACUGGGAUAACUUCGGGAAACCGGAGCUAAUACCGGAUAAUAUAUUGAACCGCAUGGUUCAAUAGUGAAAGACGGUUUUGCUGUCACUUAUAGAUGGAUCCGCGCCGCAUUAGCUAGUUGGUAAGGUAACGGCUUACCAAGGCAACGAUGCGUAGCCGACCUGAGAGGGUGAUCGGCCACACUGGAACUGAGACACGGUCCAGACUCCUACGGGAGGCAGCAGUAGGGAAUCUUCCGCAAUGGGCGAAAGCCUGACGGAGCAACGCCGCGUGAGUGAUGAAGGUCUUCGGAUCGUAAAACUCUGUUAUUAGGGAAGAACAAUUGUGUAAGUAACUAUGCACGUCUUGACGGUACCUAAUCAGAAAGCCACGGCUAACUACGUG
RNAcentral lists this ribosomal RNA (496 nucleotides) under uncultured bacterium. RNAcentral describes it as "partial 16S ribosomal RNA". It matches the Rfam family "Bacterial small subunit ribosomal RNA", at positions 29 to 507 of the family's 1533-position model. The record is from RNAcentral.